UAAAGCAUGCAAAAUGUAUUCAGGUUCAC
RNAcentral lists this non-coding RNA (29 nucleotides) under Mus musculus (house mouse). Lineage: Eukaryota; Metazoa; Chordata; Mammalia; Rodentia; Muridae. The record is from RNAcentral.